CAAGUAGAGGUUGCGCGAAGCAUGAGUAAAGGAUCUGAUGCACCAGAAGCAGAAGAUGAUUCCUGAAAGGGUGGGCGCCGAAGAUACAGGACGGACUGGACGUCAUUUAUCUGGGUACAGGGUGAACAAUCCUGUAACUGUCAUCCGACCGGAUGGAGAGCUACUU
RNAcentral lists this non-coding RNA (166 nucleotides) under human gut metagenome. RNAcentral's name for it is "Lysine riboswitch". It matches the Rfam family "Lysine riboswitch aptamer". From Rfam's summary of the family: Riboswitches are metabolite binding domains within certain messenger RNAs that serve as precision sensors for their corresponding targets. Allosteric rearrangement of mRNA structure is mediated by ligand binding, and this results in modulation of gene expression. This family includes riboswitches that sense lysine in a number of genes involved in lysine metabolism, including lysC. The record is from RNAcentral.